Molecule: long non-coding RNA, 12019 nt
Filed under: Solanum tuberosum (potato)
Lineage: Eukaryota; Viridiplantae; Streptophyta; Magnoliopsida; Solanales; Solanaceae
Description: long non-coding RNA (STUB_LNC001212)
Source: RNAcentral
GAAAGCGAUGGGAGGUGGAAUUGAUGUGAGUUUUGACUGUGCUGGCUUUAACAAAACUAUGUCGACCGCCCUUGGUGCAACUCGUCCAGGUGGCAAAGUUUGCUUGGUGGGAAUGGGACAUCAUGAGAUGACCGUUCCUCUCACUCCAGCUGCUGCAAGGUACAACUAUGCAUCAAUCUUACUUGAGUUGAAUUUGGCUAUAUGAAUCCUCACAGAUCAUCUCGCUUUGUUUGAGUUCGUCGUAUACCAAAUAGUAUACGAAAUAAAAAAUAAGUAGUACUAGAAGUCCUUUAUGUUUUUUUACUGGCAUAUAAAUCUCAAACAAGACUAAUAGACUACUAAAAAUCAUAGGAUCUAAAGUUAACAUACUAGCAUGAUUAUAAAAUAUAUUCCCAACUAAUUGGUAUUGCUUAUACCUAUGAUACUCGGACUCUUCAAAAAUGUCACCAAGUGUGUAUCAGAUCCUCCAUAAUAGUGCAUUUUUAAGGAUCCGGCACGAAUGCGACUAUUUUGGUGAGAGUCUGAGUAACAAAGGCUUAUAUAGAUCUUUUCCUGACUAAAUCUGUUGUUACUCUUCACUAACAAUAAGCUUACAGUUUGCAUGUUUCUGUAUCCUUUUUGCCAUUAUAUUAAUUUUCGGGCAAAUUGUGCUCAGGGAGGCGGAGGCCAAUGUCACUGGCUUAUAUCUUUACUUAGAAUGCAUGGCCUUGUAUAUCUCGAGUUCUUGAGAAGUGGAAAGUUAGAUACGAAACCUUCUAAGUUAGAGUCGACUAUCUGAAUCCUCAUUGAUCAUGUCUCUCUAUUUUAGUUCGUCGUAGAUCGAAAUUAUACAGAAUAGCAAAAAUAAUAAUAACAGAAAGCACUAGAAAUUCUCUAUAUUUUCUAGUUGGUAUUGCUCAUAUUGAUCGUUUUUCGAGACGGAGUCUGGGCUCUAUCGGAAACAACCUUACUACUCUACAAAGGUAGUGGUAAGCCCAGCGUACACCCUACCCUCUCCAGACUCCACUUAUGGGAGUAUACUGAGUAUGUUGUUGUUGUUGAUUGUUUUCCCGAUUAAACUUUUGUUACUCUCACACUAAUUUUCUGGGCAAAAUGUGUUCAGGGAGGUCGACAUCAUCGGCAUAUUUCGCUACAAGAAUACAUGGCCAUUGUGUCUUGAGUUCUUAAGAAGUGGAAAGAUUGAUGUGAAACCUAUGAUCACACACAGGUUUGGAUUCUCUCAAAAAGAAGUUGAAGAAGCUUUUGAAACAAGUGCUCGUGGUGGUGAUGCUAUUAAAGUCAUGUUUAAUCUGUAAAAAUAAACUUUUUAAAUUUGAGAAAAUAAGUUUUUACCAAAUGUCUAAAAAAUGUACAUCAUAAAAAGAUGUUUUAUGCUUUUGAAAACUACUAUGUAUUAGUUGAAAAUGUUGAGAAUGGUCAAAUAAAGUAGAUGGUUAACUUAUUUACGUAAUGAACAUUUGAGAACAUGUGCGUUUUUUUUUUCUACCAUGGAAAUAUCAAGUUAUUAGUGUUUAAACAUUUUUUUUCUUUUUUUGGGGUUCAACUUCGAAUAUAUUUGGGCAUAAACUUACGAAAAUUUCUUCUUUCACUUUAAUAUUUUUUUUACCAGAAUUUCUAAAACAACAGAAAAUUGUUUUUUUUUUUUUUUUUAAAAUUCAAAAUGACAAAAAGUUGUUUUCAAUCCAAAUUACUCAUAAAAAUUUAAAAACAACUCUAAUUUAUUUCAUGACCAAACACAAUUAGGCAUUUGUCCAUGUUUCAUUAGGAAAAUAGAAAAAAACAUAAUAUAUAAAUAUGUCUUUUAACUUGGCUUUAUUUCACAUUUAUGCCCUUCAACUUUAGGAUACACAAGUACACACUUAAAUUCGUAUAAAGUUGAACAAAUAGGCACACACGUCCUACGUGACAUCAUACAUGGUAAUUUGUGUCCUACAUGGUAUCCUAAGUGUAUUAUACCACAGAAGACUCAUGUGUCUACUUGUUUAAUCUUAUACAAGUUUAAGUGUAUGUUUGUGCUCAUUAAAAGUUGAAGGGCAUAAAUGUGAAAUGAGACCAAAUUAAAGGACAUAUUUAUGUAUUAAAAUUAUUUUUGUUUUCAAAGUAAAAAUAGUAAUUUCAAAAUCAAAGUCAACAUCUACUUUUUCGACUUAAGUUAAUAAAGUAAUUUAAAUUUAAUAAAAAUAAACACUUUUAGUUAAUCUCCUUUCUCACUUUGAAAACAAAAAUAAUUUUUUUUCCACUUUACCAAGGAGCAUGGUCAAAACGCCUACACACCGUUCAAUUUUACAUUAUUGAUUUGUUGACUCUAGCUAAUUGACACACUAACUUUCGAAUGAUCAAGUCAUAAUGAUCAGAUUAAAAAUUGAUGCUUUUUUGGCCGUGUGAAACGCUUGACAUGAAAGGAGGGCUAUCCAAAAAGUUUUUUUUUCUUCUGAAACCGCAUCACAGAGGAGUAGAGCCGCCGCGACACUUCCUUACUAGAUCUGACUUUCCUCUUUUUUUUCUCCUCCAUCGGAACCUAAAAAAAGAAUCUCUUUAACUAAGAAUGCUCAUUUUUGUCAAACUUAAAGGACUAAACUAAUAAAAAAUAUAGCUAAGGGUCUACUUUAAACCAACACCUAAAUAUAAGGGACCAUUUUUUUUAUUUAAUAGAAGUUGACUCUGAAGUUUUCAUAUAUAGUUCAUCCUAAAACUCACACCACAAAUUAACAAAACACAAAUUAAUUUUAUGUUCUUGAUUUGUUCAAACAAAUCAUAUUUUCUCUUGCAAUGUCUGAUUAUAUUUCUUUUUUUCUUGUAAUAUUUCUUCUUUUUUUCUUUCCAUCACACAAUUUAGCUCAAAAUGAUGGUAGAAUAUCUACUAGUAGUUCUAUUAGUGCAACAAAUGAAAGUACCCCAUGGCUUUCACCAUCUGGUGAUUUUGCAUUUGGUUUCAAAAAAAUUGAAGAAAAUAAAAAUGAGUUCUUGCUUUGUAUAUGGUACGCAAAAAUUCAAGAAAAAACUAUAGUUUGGUAUGCUAAUAUAAGUGAUUUAGUGCCACAAGGAUCAAGAUUGAAUCUUGAUUCUCAAAGUGGUUUAAUACUUAGUGAUCCUCAAGGGAAUACUCUUUGGACAAGUGAUUUGGUUUUCAUUGGUAAUAUUGAUUAUGGAUUGAUGAAUGAUAAUGGGAAUUUUGUUGUAAUGGGAAGUGAUUCUAGUGAUCCAUUAUGGGAAAGUUUUAGAAAUCCAACUAAUACUUUGUUGCCAAAUCAAACAUUGGAAAGAGGAAGCUUCCUUGUUUCUCAAAAGUCGCAAAAUAAGUUCACUCAAGGUACGUACGCGUUCAACUGUGUGACCAACUCAUCUGAUUGUUUUGUUAUGUUAUGUUUCUAACAUGAUAUAUGUAUUCUCUUCUUUUAUUUUUGCGUUGUGGAAGCCGUUUUGUUGUUGGAAUCAUUUUUUUGAAGUAGAUUAUGAGGAUUCAUGAAUAAUUGACUAGUUCUAGUCAUGGUAGUGCAUUUUUUCUUUAGGUCCUGGCUUUCUAGGACGGACACACAAUUGCCAUGUAGGACGUCACAUAUGACGGAUGUGUCUAUUUGUUUAAUUUGAUACGAGUUUAGUGUCGACUUGUGCACAGUCAAAGUUAGAGGCUAUAGAUGUCCGUUGAAGUCGAGUUAAAUGACAUGUUUAUGUGUUAUGCCUAUAUAUGGAGAAACAAACUAAGAUCACUCAAGGUACGUACGCGUUGAGUUGUGUGACCAACUCAUUUGAUUGUUCGAUUAGGUUAUGUUUCACUCAAGGUAUGCGUUGAAUUGCGUAACCAACUCAUAUGAUUGUUUGAUCAUGUUAUGUCUCUAACAUGAUAUAUGAAUUCUUUUUUCUUUUUUUGGAGUUGUGGAAGCCGUUUUGUUGUUGGAAUCCUUUUUUUAAAGAAGAAGAAGAAGUUAAUGGUUGAGGAAGAAAUAAUAGUAGAUUAUGAGGAUUUAUCAAUAAUUGACUAGCUCUAGUCAUGGAAGUGCAUUUUUCGUUAGGUCCUAUGCUUUCUAGGAUGUCACGUAGGACACACAAUUGCCAUGCAAGACACCAGGUAGGACGAAUGUGUCUAUUUGUUCAAUUUUAUACGAGUUUAAGUGUUGACUUGUGCACACUCAAAGUUAGAGGGAAUAGAUGUCAGUUGAAGUUGAGUGAAAUGACCAGUUUAUGUGUUAUGCCUCUAUAUGGAGAAACAUGGUUAGUUAAGAUUCAUACAGCUGACUUCGAAUUGUUUGGAAUUGAAGCGUAGUUGUUAUUGUUAUGUCUUAACACAUAGAUGUCAACUGUUAGAGCUGAGAUUAUGAUUUAAUUAUAUUAUGUCUCGACAGGUAGAUUUUAUCUUCGGAUGCUUGAUAAUGGAAAUUUGGUGCUUGUUACACAAAGUGUGCCUUCGAAUAUGGAUUAUGAUGAUGAGUACUAUAACACUCAAACUUCUGAUCCAACAAAUGCAAUCAAUUCUGGGGAUAAGUUGGUGUUCGAAGAGAAUGGCAUGCUGUAUGUAUUGAAGCGAAACAAUGAAACACAAAUUCUUACUCCGCGAUCCAAUCAUUUAGGUUCGGACAAUUAUCAUCGUGUGACACUUAACUUUGAUGGAGUUCUUAGUCAUUAUUAUCAUUCAAGGAUUUUGAAUAGCAGUGGCUGGAAUAUUCUGUGGUCUCAACCGGAUAAUAUAUGCAUCAAAAUUGAUGGAGACAACGGACCUGGUUCUUGUGGUUACAACAAUGUAUGCAGUCUUGGUUCAAACAACAGACCAGUUUGUAACUGUCCUAAAGGAUAUUCGUUGGUUGAUCCGAACGAUGCUUAUGGUGACUGCAAACCAGAUUUUUCUAUAAGUUGUGAUGAAGUUGGGAGGGGUUCACCUGAUGAUUUAUACAGUUUUAUCACGAUUCGUAAUACUGAUUGGCCGAAAUCAGAUUUUCAGAAAAUUAGCCCUUCUACUGAACAAGACUGCCAAAAUGCUUGUUUGAAUGAUUGCUUUUGUGCUGUUGCCAUUUAUAGAAGCAAUAGUUGCUGGAAAAAGAAACUGCCCUUGUCGAACGGGAGAAUAGACACCAGUUUGAACGCCAAAGCUUUUAUCAAAUUGAGAAAAGAUGGUGUUCUAAGGCCUCUAAGUCCUCCAAGUCCUGGCUUUCCAAUUCCGGAAUCUCAUCAAAAGCAGAGUUGGCGGAUUUUGGCAAUUUUGGCGUCCUCGCUCUUAGGUAGCUCCAUUAUGGUAAAUGUUCUUCUCAUUGGUGUAUUAUGUUGGGGAUUCUUCCACAUUUAUAAAAAGAAAGUGAACGUAUUUUGCCCUACAAGUCACGUGACGGACACUGUCUGUCAUAGUUUUACGUAUAAAGAUCUUGUAGUAGCCACGAAAGAGUUCAACGAAGAGCUAGGCAGGGGUGCAUUUGGGAUUGUUUACAAAGGUGUAAUGUCUAUCGGUUCAAGAAACGUAGUCGCUAUAAAGAAGCUGGAUAGAGUCGCUCAUGAGGCAGAGAAAGAUUUCAUGACUGAAGUAAAUGUGAUUAGUCAGACUCAUCACAAGAAUUUGGUCCGCCUGAUUGGAUAUUGUAACGAGGGACCUCAUCGUUUGUUGGUUUACGAGUAUAUGAGUAAUGGCACUCUUGCAAGUUUCAUUUUUGGUGAUCUGAAACCUACUUGGAGUCAGAGGACAAGUAUCGCGAUGGGGAUUGCAAGGGGACUUGCAUACCUCCACGAAGAGUGCAGUACACAGAUUAUCCAUUGUGACAUAAAGCCUCAGAACAUUCUCCUUGAUGACUAUCACGUUGCUCGAAUAUCAGAUUUUGGAGUGUCUAAGCUGUUGAUGAUCAAUCAGAGUCGAACGGAUACUAAUAUUAGAGGAACAAGAGGUUAUGUUGCUCCGGAGUGGUUCAGACAUAGUCCAGUCACGGUUAAGGUGGACGUUUACAGCUUUGGUAUACUACUACUAGAGAUCAUCACAUGCCGGAAAUGUUUGGAGAAUGAGGAAAGCUAUGGACUGGAGGCGAUUCUUGUGGAUUGGGUUGUUGAUUGUUUUCAACAAGGAAACUUGGAAGCUUUGGUGAGAAGUGAUAUCGAGGCCUUGAAUGACAAGAAGCAGCUCGAGAGGUUCGUGAUGGUUGGUAUUUGGUGCGUUCAGGAGGAUCCGUUAACGAGGCCUACUAUGAGGAAGGUCUGUCAAAUGCUUGAAGGAUCUGUUGAAGUGACAAUUCCACCAUGUUCAUGUAAUUUUAGCACAACUAUUUAACAUCAUAUGCCUCAUUUACGCGCGAUUUCCUCCUCUGUAUAGUACUUUUGAGUGGUCUAGUUGUAUUACUUUCUUUAAUGUUGAGUUCACUUUAAUAGUACUAAUGAUCUGUAUUGCUCAGACUCUUCAAAAAUGUCAUCGGGUGCAGCUCUUCACAUUUCCAUCUGCAUUUACUAGUGAUGAAAUUGUAAUUGAGACAUUAACAAACAGUUUUUGGGGCAUUUUGUUUUAAAUAACGAAGAAAUCUCCUGGGAACAGUCUCUCUACCAUCACAAGGUAGGGAUAAGCCUGCAUACACAUCACUUUUUCCGAACCCCAAUGGGGUACGUGGGGUAUAUUUUUGUUGUUGUUGUUGUUGUUGUAACCGAGAAAUCUCCCAUUGGUUAGUUGCCUCAACCCCAGUGGGCCCACAAGUUUGAAUUAUUAUUUUUUUCACGGGAGGGGAGGGGGAAUAUGGUCCGUUUCUCUAUCCUGCUCCCACUUAAAUACCACUUGUCAUGUUGGUGACAUAGUUUGAACCACAUAUCUCUCGUUGAACCAAAGUCCGGAGGCAAUAAUUUUUAGGCAUUUUAGUAAGACCUCUCCAUCUUUUACUAGAGAUCUCGAGUUCAGGGAAAAAACUCUUAAUAUAGAACACUUCUCCUUCAAAUACAUCCUAUGUGGUACAAAUCCAAAUUAGUUAGACCAAUGUAUGUAUCUCAGUCAGAUAGUUAGACCAAUAAAAAAUAGAUACAUAAAGCCAUAGAUGGCUAUAGCUUAUUAGCUAGUUUCAAUGGACCAAGACCAAAAAAAAAAAAUUCUUUUUAAAAAAAUGUGACAUUAAUUAACUUUAUUUGAUGGUUCUAGAUGUAACUUGGAAAUCCAAAUUAUUUUAAUCUAUAUGUUUCUAUCCACAAGUAAAAAAAUUCUGUACACUAUUCUUUCCCAUUAUCUGAAUUUUUUUACUACAAAGUUCGAAUAAUAUGUCUUUUCAAGGCUAUUGCCGAACUCAGUUGAAAUGUCAAUAAAGUCAAAUUUCUCGAGUUUAAUUUUUCCUUAAAUAUUUUUUUUUUAAUAUUAUAGAUAAAAUAUUAUAUUAUCGUCUAACGUUUAUCUCACAUAAAAUUCUCAAUUUGCUCAUAAAAAAUCUUUAAAUCAUGGCCUAAAAGUACAGAAGUUGCCAGAGAAAUAAAAAGAGAAUCGUUUACUAAACAAUUGUCUUAAUAAAACAAGUGGAUGGCCAUGAUAUUUUUCUAUUAAUUAAGCUCCUUGUAGAUUGAAAAUUCCUAGGUUGUCAUUCAAGAUUUUGGGUCUUAAAUUCAAAACCAUCAAUCAUAUAAUAAGUGUAAAAGUAUUGACUAUCCAAUUAUUGAAUUCCACUUGUGACUUCAAUAACAAACCAAAAUUUCUUUCAUUAAAAGACUUUAAAAUGUGUUUGACUAAGCUUAUAAAUCGGUCAAAUAAGCUUAUAAACAUUAUUUGUAGCUUAUCUACACAUUUAAAGUCUGUUUGAAUUAGCUGAUUAAAACAUCAAAUGUUGACAAACACCUCUAGGUGUGCGAGAUAGAAGUGUUGAAACUGAUAUUAAAUAGUUACGUGUUUCAUAAAAAGAUUAGGCAUAAUACAUUAAUAUCAUAGAAUUUUCGAUGCUACCAACCAUAGAAUGAAAUAAACGUUUAAUACUAACUAUGUCAUUUUUCUAACUGGUCCCAAUUCCAAAAAUCAUCCUCUAGAAAUCCACCAAAUUUAUUCUUGGCCUUUAAGAACAUAGCCAAAAUUUUUUUUAACAUAAAUUCAAAUUAAAAUAUGUCACAUGCAAAAUAUUACAAGAAAAAAAAAAUAUCUUUAUGAUCUGUAACUAUAUCUACCUAAACACAACAUGUGGAUCUAAAUCUAUGCAAAGAUUUUUUUUGCUUAAUAAUUGAUGCUCGAAAUAUUAUCGUGCUUAAAAAAUAUAAGUGGUUCAAAAUAAUUAUAACUUUUUAAAAUUAAAAUAUAAUUGAUUAUUGCUUUUCACUUUCUUCUUUACUCAAUAAAACAUGAAGACAAUUAAUAUGGUAAAAAAGAAUGUAGCAUCAAAUUGAGACCAGAUAAUAAAUAAAGAUAAUUUAAUCAAAUUACUUUUUUAAUUAAUAUUUUCUCAAGAGUUGUAGAGAAAAUGACAUAAAUAGUCCCUUAAUUAUAGGAGUAGGUCUAAAAUGGUCUCUUAACUAUAUACUUAAUGAAUUUAGUCUUUUAACUAUUAAAAAACUUAUUAGUUUUGGUCCCUUAACUAUACAAUUACCGGUUUUAGCCCAUUAACUAUAAACUUACCGAUUUUAGUCCUUUAAAUAUUUUAAAACUUAUCAGGUUUGUUCUUUGUCCAUUUUUUAAAUACAAAUAGCUUAGGUUUAUAUAUUAACCGAUAUCUUCGUAAAAUUAAAUCUUUAACCCAUUUUAAAGUUGUUUCUCUAUCCCCGGUCUUUUUUCUUCAAACUAUUCUUUUGAAAAGAACAAUAACGUCAACGAUUCAAAGUAAAAUUAAUGAGGGAAGAAGAUAUAAGUCCUAAUUUUAUUCAAUGGAGGAUAAAGUUAAGCAUAUAAUUGUUGUUGAUGACUUGAAUCCGCACUUGAAUAUGCUAAUCAGUGCGGAUUUUAUUUAAUUUACUCAAAUUUCUUUAUGUAAAAUAAAAUGAAUAGAAUAAUAAAAUUGAUCUACCUUUUUAUAAAUUUCAAUUUCUAAAAAAUUAAACAAAUUUCGUUCAAUGAAGUCGUUCGAGUACAAACAUUGGAUUUAAUGAGUAAUAAUUUUUAAUUUUUUUCUUUUUAGAAUAAAAUUUAGCAUAUUCAAGUCAUUAGUAGCAAUAAUAUGCUUCGUUUUAUCCUCUGUUGAAUAAAAUUAUGACUUAUAUUUUCUUUCCUCGUAAAUUUUAUUUUAAAUCGUUGAGGUUAAUGUUUUUCGCAUAAGAUUAAUUUGAAAAAAAAAUAGCGGACAAAGAGAAACAACAGAAAAAGUUGCUAAAUAAUUUAAUCUUUUGAUCGAGAUAUGAAUUCCGUUAAUAUAAAACUAAGCUAUUUGUCCCAUCAUUGGUGAUUCCAUUUUACCUACUUCUCAUUACAUGUUACAAAACAAUAGUGACAUUUUAUACUUAAGACUAAUUAACCAAGAACUUAUUUAAGUGUUUCAUAAUUUACUAUUGACAAUACUAUUUAGUGUGAUUUAUUCUGAUGUAUGGGCAUUAGUGCUAAAAAAUCUUUAAAAUUAUGGGCAUAAACAAAAUAGUAUUGUUGAAAGAAAAUAUCGUCAUAUAGUUGAAACAUGACUCAAAGUAAUAGUAAUAGUAAUAAUAAUUCUCAAUACUACUACUACUACUACUACUAAUAAUAAUAAUAAUAAUAAUAAUGAAGCUAUAAUGAUAAUAACGAUCACAAACUAAUACUGAUCGAUAUUGAGGGUGGUUGUGACGCUUCCUGUUGAGUAUAGUACACAAUUUAGAAUUGAAGUUCGUUUACACAAUAUAAGAAAGACAAUUCUAAAGAAUGAGAUUAAACAGCUUUUUUAGAUUUCAUUAAUGUUGUUUGUUGAUUUUUGAAAAAAGGGGCGGAGAUUGAAGAAGCGAAGCAAACCUAGAAUAGCAGUCUCUUACGUUUUUUCAAGCUCCUUUGAGAUCUUAUUAGUUAAGCACUAGCGCCCCUUUAGAGUAAUGAAGCUAUAAUAAUACUCCCUUCAUCCCAUUUUAUAUGUCACAUUUUUACUUUGCAUUUGCAUUAAAAAAUGAUGUAACUUUAGACAAGAUUAAUUAACUAUUCUAUCAGGGGUAUAAUAGACAAAACAUGGUAAUUUAUGUAUAAAUUUUAUAAAAUGACAAGUAGCUUUGUUUAAGUUUGUCGUAUACCAAUGUUAUACAAAAUAAAAAAUAAGUAGUACUAGAAGUCCUUUAUGUUUUUUGCUGGCAUAUAAAUCUCAAACCAGACUAAUAGACUACUAGAAAACAUAGGAUCCAAAGUAAACUUACUUGCAUGAUUAAAAUAUAUUCCCAACUUACUAGCAUUGCUUAUACCUAACUUUAUGAUACUCGGACUCUUCAAAAAUGUCACCAAGUGUGUAUCAGAUCCUCCAUAAUAGUGCAUUUUUAAGGAUCCGGCACGAAUACGACUAUUUUGUUGAGAGUCCGAGUAACAAAGGCUUAUAUAGAUCUUUUCCCGACUAAAUCUUUUGCUACUCUUCACUAACGAUAAGCUUACGGUUCGCAUGUUUCUGUAUCCUUUUUGCCAUUAUAUUAAUUUUCGGGCAAAUUGUGCUCAGGGAGACCGAUGUCAUCGGCUUAUAUCUUUACUUAGAAUGCACUGCCUCGUAUAUCUCGAGUUCUUGAGAAGUGGAAAGUUAGAUAUGAAACCUUCUAAGUUAGAGUCGACUAUCUGAAUCCUCAUUGAUCAUAUCUCUCUAUUUUAGUUCGUCGUAGACCGAAAUUAUACAGAAUAGCAAAAAUAAUAAUAGCAGAAAGCACUAGAAAUUCUCUAUAUUUUCUAGUUGGUAUUGCUCAUAUUGAUCGUUUUUCGAGACGAAGUCGGGGAUAUAUCGGAAACAACCUUACUACUCUACAAAGGUAGAGGUAAGCCCAGCGUACACCCUACCCUCUCCAGACUCCACUUAUGGGAGUAUACUGAGUAUUUCCCGAUUAAACUUUUGUUACUCUCACACUAAUUUUCUGGGGAAAAUGUGUUCAGGGAGGUCGACGUCAUCGGCAUAUUUCGCUACAAGAAUACAUGGCCAUUGUGUCUUGAGUUCUUUAGAAGUGGAAAGAUUGAUGUGAAACCUUUGAUCACACACAGGUUUGGAUUCUCUCAAAAAGAAGUUGAAGAAGCUUUUGAAACAAGUGUUCGUGGUGGUGAUGCUAUUAAAGUCAUGUUUAAUCUGUACUAACUUCACUUGAAUUGAAAUUAUGAAUUCAAGGUGUUUGAUCACAUGUUAUGGAGGGAUUCUUGAUGUUUAGACGUACUUUGGAGUGUCGGAAACAACUAUGAAACAUAGGUAUAAUACCUAGGAACAUGCAUGAGAAAGUGGGGAAGGAAUGGGAAAAACUUGGCGUCCUUGGCGCUCUGCAAGGCGCGGGGCGCCAGCCCUUGGAGCUCAGAGGAUCUGCUGGGGCGCACUGCUAGGCGCGGCGCCCCAUAGGGGAAACUUCAGAGCCCCUGCUGGGGCGCGCUGGCUGGCGCGACGCCCCAACCCCUUUUUCCCCGAAAUUCGACUUUCCUCUCUUGUUUCUCCAUCUCUAAACCACCCUAACUUCAAGGGUUUCAACUCCAACACUAAGGAUCAUAAAAUCCCUCAACAAACAAGAGAUUCAACUCAAAAAGACAAUCAAAUCAUGUACUAAACCAACAAGAACUUCCAACAACACAACCAACAACUUCAACAGCACAAACCAACAACACCAACAACACAACCCAACAACUUCAACAACAUGACCAAUCUUUUCUCAAAAAUAAAACGAGUUUGGUGUGUGGGGAAAGGAUCAACCCAUCACUAAGAACUCACAUACCUUAAUAGGGAUCACCCCGACGAUAUCCACAACGAUCUAGACGAAAUCUUUGCUUAAUCUUCUCUUUCUCCUCUUCUCCACCUCUUCUUCUCUUCUUCACUCAAAACCCUCACUCUCACUCUUUUAAAAUGGGACAAAAAUGAUCCAAAAAUCAGCCUAACACUAAUAUAUAACCAAAAGAAAUAGCUAGGGAAAAGACCAAAAUGCCCUUAAAAUUUCCGGACGGAUUCCCUGCCAACUGCCCAACUUUCAAAGGGCAUAACUCGCUCAUACGAACUCG